GGGUUAAGUCCCGCAACGAGCGCAACCCCUAUUUUAGUUGCCAUCAGGUUAAGCUGGGCACUCUAAAGAGACUGCCGUCGAUAAGGCGGAGGAAGUGGGGACGACGUCAAGUCAUCAUGGCCCUUAUGUCUAGGGCUACACACGUGCUACAAUGGGUUAUACAGAGGGCAGCUAGCUCGCGAGAGUCUGCGAAUCCCUUAAAGUAAUCCUCAGUUCGGAUUGUAGUCUGCAACUCGACUACAUGAAGUUGGAAUCGCUAGUAAUCGCAGGUCAGCAAAACUGCGGUGAAUACGUUCCCGGGCCUU
RNAcentral lists this ribosomal RNA (305 nucleotides) under uncultured Denitrovibrio sp. RNAcentral describes it as "bacterial SSU rRNA". It matches the Rfam family "Bacterial small subunit ribosomal RNA", at positions 1077 to 1382 of the family's 1533-position model. Lineage: Bacteria; Pseudomonadati; Deferribacterota; Deferribacteres; Deferribacterales; Geovibrionaceae. The record is from RNAcentral.